RNAcentral lists this unclassified non-coding RNA (293 nucleotides) under uncultured fungus. Its description in RNAcentral is "sequence contains ITS1". The stretch from base 1 to 97 matches the Rfam family "5.8S ribosomal RNA", at positions 50 to 154 of the family's 154-position model. The record is from RNAcentral. Lineage: Eukaryota; Fungi.
GAAAUGCGAUACGCAAUGCGAAUUGCAGAACCGUGAGUCAUCAGAUUUUUGAACGCAAGUGGCGGUUGUUUCGACAACCAUGUUUGUUUCAGUGUGCCCGGUUAAUUACAUCAAAGAACUUAAUGUGAUUGAAGAAAUUCUCUCACUAAGUAUGAAUCAGUGUUCACUGAUUUAUUAGACGAAUUAGUCACUAAUAGGUGAUCGUCGUCAAAAUAAAAAGUGAUAAAAUCAUUGAUUAAAGUUAUUAUCCAAAUUUGACACCUGAAAUAAGCAAGAUUACCCGCUGAACUUAA